UACGUAGGGUGCGAGCGUUGCUCGGAAUCACUGGGCGUAAAGCGCACGUAGGCGGCUUUGUAAGUUAGAGGCGAAAGCCCGGGGCUCAACUCCGGAAUUGCCUUUAAGACUGCAUCGCUAGAAUUGUGGAGAGGUAAGUGGAAUUCCGAGUGUAGAGGUGAAAUUCGUAGAUAUUCGGAAGAACACCAGUGGCGAAGGCGACUUACUGGACACAUAUUGACGCUGAGGUGCGAAAGCGUGGGGAGCAAACAGG
This 253-nucleotide ribosomal RNA is filed under the name uncultured bacterium. Its description in RNAcentral is "partial 16S ribosomal RNA". It matches the Rfam family "Bacterial small subunit ribosomal RNA", at positions 524 to 776 of the family's 1533-position model. The record is from RNAcentral.